GCAGUGGAGCGGGCGAUCGCCGGCGCCCGUGCGGCGGUCCCGAGAGGACUGCCGCACGACGCGGGAGGAAAGUCCGGGCUUCACAGGGCAGGGUGCCGGGUAACGCCCGGUGAGGGUGACCUCGAGGAAAGUGCAACAGAAAGCAAACCGCCCCGCGCGCGCGCGCUUCGGCGCGCGCGCCCCGGGGUAAGGGUGAAAUGGUGGAGUAAGAGCCCACCGCGCUCGCGGUGACGCGAGUGGCACGGCAAACCCCACCCGAAGCAAGGCCAUGUAGGGAGGCGGUCCCGCGGCGCGAGUCGCGGGGCUGCCCGGACGGCGCGAGCCGACCGGGCCAAGGACGGCCCGUCCAAGCCUCCGGGUAGGCUGCUCGAGACCGGCGGCAACGCCGGCCCUAGAGGAAUGAUCGCCAGCGCGCGACCCGGGCGACCGGCGCGCACGACAGAACCCGGCUUAUGCGCCGCUGCGACC
Molecule: RNase P RNA, 468 nt
Filed under: Polyangiaceae bacterium
Lineage: Bacteria; Pseudomonadati; Myxococcota; Polyangiales; Polyangiaceae
Description: RNase P RNA component class A
Rfam family: Bacterial RNase P class A
About the family: Ribonuclease P (RNase P) is a ubiquitous endoribonuclease, found in archaea, bacteria and eukarya as well as chloroplasts and mitochondria. Its best characterised activity is the generation of mature 5'-ends of tRNAs by cleaving the 5'-leader elements of precursor-tRNAs.
Source: RNAcentral